RNAcentral lists this ribosomal RNA (1292 nucleotides) under metagenome. RNAcentral's name for it is "bacterial LSU rRNA". It matches the Rfam family "Bacterial large subunit ribosomal RNA", at positions 1626 to 2925 of the family's 2925-position model. The record is from RNAcentral.
GUUGAACCUGUUCUGCCUGUACCGCAAACCGACACUGGUAGGCGAGGAGAGUAUCCUCAGGCGAACGAGAGAACCUUCGUUAAGGAAUUAGGCAACAUGUACCCGUAACUUAGGGAGAAGGGUAGCCCGCGAUGAUGUUGUCAUACGAUGAUGUCAUUGUGGGUCGCAGAUGAGAGGCUCUAGCGACUGGUUAACUAAACCACAGGUCUCUGCGAAGCCGCAAGGCGACGUAUAGGGGCUGACACUUGCCCAGUGCUGGAAGGUUAAAGGGAGAGGUUAGCGCAAGCGAAGCUUUGAACUGAAGCCCCAGUGAACGGCGGCGGUAACUAUAACCGUCCUAAGGUAGCGAAAUUCCUUGUCAGGUAAGUUCUGACCCGCACGAAUAGUGUAACGACUGGAGCACUGUCUCAACGAGGGACUCGGCGAAACUGAAUUAAUGGUGAAGAUGCCAUUUACCCGCGCCCGGACAAAAAGACCCCGUGGAGCUUUACUGUACCUUGGCAUUGCGCUAGGGCUUUGACUGUGUAGCAUAGGUGGGAGGCUUAGAAGCUGGUGCGCUAGCAUCGGUGGAGCCGUCAGUGAAAUACCACCCUGUUGGAGUUUUGGCCCUAACUGUACUCCGUAAUCCGGAGACGAGACAGUGCCAGGCGGGCAGUUUGACUGGGGCGGUCGCCUCCUAAAAUGUAACGGAGGCGCCCAAAGUUUCCCUCAGGCUGAAUGGAAACCAGCCGUUGAGUGUAAAGGCACAAGGGAGAUUGACUGUAAGACCUACAAGUCGAGCAGAGACGAAAGUCGGGCUUAGUGAUCCUACUGAUCUUGGUGGAAAGGCAGUAGCUUAACGGAUAAAAGCUACCCCGGGGAUAACAGGCUAGUGAGGCCCAAGCGUCCAUAGCGACGGCCUCGCUCGGCACCUCGAUGUCGGCUCGGCGCAUCCUGGGGCUGGAUAAGGUCCCAAGGGUUGGCCUGUUCGGCCAUUAAAGCGUUACGUGAGCUGGGUUCAAACCGUCGUGAGACAGGUUGGUCUCUAUCCGGCGUGGGCGCAGGGGAUUUGAGAGGAGCUGUUCUUAGUACGAGAGGACCGGAAUGGACGUACCUCUGGUGUGCCAGUUGUUCCGCCAGGAGCAUCGCUGGGUAGCCACGUACGGCAAAGAUAACCGCUGAAAGCAUCUAAGUGGGAAACUUGCCUCAAGAUGAGAUCCCCCCGAAGACCGCCAGUAGACUACUGGUUUGAUAGGCGACAGGUGUAAGGCCGGCAACGGUUUUAGCUAAGUCGUACUAACGGUCGUUUGGCU